CGUUUGGUGCAGAUAAGCAUUGGAGGAAGAUGAAGGGGAUGCUGAGGACAUCCCGGCAAUGGCCUGCAGGAGCCCCUUGGCAUGUAAUAGCCUAGAUGCCAUGACCAGUAGCAGGAGGCAAACAGGUUCCUGGGCAAAAGGGAGCUGGUUCCUGGUGAAGACCCACCUUCAAACUGUGGAGGAUCUGCAGCCUAGGUCCUGACCAUUGGUCCCAUAGUGGUGCUUUUAUCUGGGUCUACUCAUGGCUGCCCAUGGACCAGUCAGCAUGCACUUAACCUCUGCUGAGAGCUGAAGAGACCACAGUAUGACCUGACUGCCUGCAGAGAGGAGCUAUCCUCUCUGCUGAAAGCUGAACACUCAGGGAUGACCUGCCUGCAGAGGGAGGUUUCACACUCCAGGACCUCCUGUCUGCUAGGAGCUGAACACUUCAGAACAUCCUGACUAUGGAAGGAGCUACCCACUGUGGGUCUCCUCUGAGCUGUCCUAUUAUUCAAUAAAGCUCCACUUCAUCUUGCUUACCCUCCACUUGGCUGCGUACUUCAUUCUUCCUGGUCUCAGGACAAGAACUCGGGACUUGCCAAAUGGUGAAGCCAAAAGAGCUGUAACCCAAACAGGGCUGAAUGUCUUACUCGCCACAUUGUGGAUGAAGAGAAAGAGAAAAGGGCUGCAGCCCUUUGGGGACCCCAGACCUGGGACUUCCCCAAGCCCAGCUCUCCAAAGAGGGAGACCUGUGGUUCCUGGAAUUUCCAAGCUUUCAGGUGCCACUGCAUUCCCCGGUGCCAACUGGGGAAGCUACUUGUGGUACACCUGGUCCAGCCAGGGCCUCACAGAGAACUGGCACCCAUGCUGGAACUGGCCCACCCAUGGUAGCAGCCAGCAUGUCUGUGCACAGCAGCAGGACCCCACACUGGCUCACACCCCCCCACCUACUGCUCCUCACUUGACUCGCCCUUAUCAAGCAUGGAAUCCCGGCUGAUAACAUGAGCCAAGCACAGCCUGCCAAGCUGAGUGGGUGGAGUGAACCCAAUGGGCCCCAGCAAAACUUGGGCUAAGGCACCCCUGGGCACAGAGUUUUCUGGCCAGAAAAGUAACACCCAAAAGCAGAUGAAGUUUCACCACAUUGGCCAGGCUGGUUUCAAAUUCCUGACCUCAAGUGAUCCACCCACUUUAGCCUCCCAAAAGUUCUAGGAUCUUUUACCUCCCAUAUUUGGAAGAUGUGUUGUAAGGAAUUAUUCCAUUGCUGUUACUCCUCAUAGACAUGUCUCCUCUUCUCCUGGAGGAAAUUCUGAAGAAGAGUGAGUGCAUUGGAUUUAUCUUUGAACACAUAUGAGAUAGCUAACACAGUGUCUGGCUUUGAAAUGAAGCACUGGAACCUCCAUGGUUGCUUGUAAUUGUAAGGCCAUUCUGACUGAAGGCAGACAAAAGUUGAGUCAAUGAUGAUCCCUAAAAGAUGAAGGCUCAUCAACUCACAUUUUAUCCACAUACUUUAUAUGUUUUUGUAUUAAUGAGUAAAUAGGUGGAUAAAGAUAAUUCAUAUUUACUUAAUAUUUUAAUUAAAUUCAGUUGAGAUGAUGGGAAGCCUCUCUCUCAAAGUUAUCCAUCCGGUUAGAUGGACUGGUACAGCAAACAUCUGGAUAUGUUUGAAUCUGAGUUCACAUUAUUAUAUUAAAAUGGUAAUACUAAGUGAACUGUUCUUCUUUAGCCUUCAGUCAGAUAAUCUUUGAGGAUCCAAGAGAUCUUCCUUGGGUUGCCAAAAUACAUCAAAUUUGAGAAAUUUGAGAAUCACUAGGGAUUACCAUUCAAUUUUGAUUACACCCAGCUAUAAUGGUGGAAAGCUGCCAAAAUCCAACCCCAGAGAACCAGGUCAUUACCUCUAACAAACUCAUGUGGUCAAGCUGUCAAUUUGAGGCUUAGAGUAAGCUCUCAAAAAGAGCUGAUAGCAGUGCCUCUAAGAAAGUUGCAGCCAACUAGCUUAAAGGCAUUUAAAGAUAUUUUACUGGCAUCUAACUCUGUAAAUGCAACAAUACAACUACAUUGCAGUGGCCCAGGAUAGUGGUGAACCUUCAUGAUGCUCUGCUCCAAGUGACAGAUGCAAGUCCUUGGAAGCUGUGCUAAAAGGGAAUUAUAACAAAACUGGCUGCAUGAUGAGAAAAAAACACAGCCAUGUGGCAGGACAUUCAUGAGAAAUAUGGAUUCAGCUGGUGGUGUUUACACAUUAGAAAAUGUAUUUUAUGCUAAAUCCUAUCUGUGAUGUUCCAAUGAGAACAUGUGGCAUCCAGUAAUCCACUAUCAAAGCUGAUCUUCCUACUUGCAUAAAGAGUGAUAUGAAAGAAAGAGGGAUUAGAGACUCUGUUUUUAUUUCAUUCUUCUGAAUGUUAUCUUGGGAGGAUUAAGAAUGACUGAUGCUGAUACACUGAAACAACCAGUUUAGACCAAGUAAUUCUUGAGAGAGAGAAUUGACAGAUAUAUCUGGCUGUGCACCUGAAUACAAUAUGAAUUUAAUCAUUCAGGAAAGAGGACAGCUAUGUGAAGUCUGUAUGUAGUAAAUGUCACAUGUGAAAUGUCAGUUGGCAUAUUCAUGAGUAUAUUUCCUACUUGUAAAUAAAAUUAAAAGAACUGGAAACAUACUGUUACAAACUGAAUACUUAUGCCCUCUACAAAAUGUGUAAAUUUGAAUUCUAACUUCAAGGUAAGGGUAAUAGGAGGUAGGAUCUUUGGGAAGUGUUGAGGUCAUGAAAGCAGAGCCUUCUUGGAUUGGAUUGCUGACCUUAUAAAAAGACCUCAGGAGAUCCCCUGCCCUUUCUCACCAUACGAGGGCAUGCUGUCAAGAUGCUGUCAAUCAGUACGCAGACCCUCAGCAGACACUGAAUCUGCUGGCACCUUGAUCUUGAAUUUUCUUGUCUCCAGAACUGAGAAAUAGGUUUCUGUUAUUCGUAAUUCACUCUGAUUAUGGUAUUUUGUUAAAGCAUUCUGGAUGGACUAAGACGUAUACACUGCAGCAUAGUCUCUUAGAAGGUGUUCACACAUUUUUGCAAAACAAAAGACACAUUAAAAUUUCCACUCAGGGUGCUGCCACAGUGAGUUUAGUACUAAAACUUUGCUUUUGGAAGCAACAGAUUCACUGCAGUGGGAGUCUUCGCACAGAGGGAAACCCAACGCUAGCUCCGUACUUGAGAAAAAUGAAUAGCGCCCAAACUCUUACACCCUCAGACCCCAGCAAAGUAGCUGGUAAAUGUAGGUAUUCAUUCCUGAAUGAUUGUUUUUUUCUUUCAACUUCUAUUUUAGGUUCAGAGGUUACAUGUGAAGGCUUGUUACAUAAGUAAAUUGUGUGUUGUUGAGGUUUGGUGUAUGAAUGAUCCCUUUAUCCAGGUUGUGGGCAUAGUUAAUGGUUGGUAGCUUUUCGACUUGUCCCCACCUCCCACUCUCCCCCCUCAAAUAGUUACCAGUGUCAACUAUUCCCAUCUUUGUGUUCGUGUGUAUUCAGUGUUUAAUUAGUACUUGUAGAUGAUAACAUGUGGUAUUUGGUUGUCUGUUCCUGUGUUAGUUUUCUUAGAACAAUGGCUUACAGCUGCAUCUAUGUUGCUGCAAAAGACAAGAUUUCCUUCCUUUUUAUUGUAGGAUUUCAUGGACAACAUUUUCUUUAUCCAGUCAACGGUUUAUGGGCCUCUAGGUUGAUUCUCUGUCUUUGCUAUUGUGAAUAGUUCUGCAGUGAACACACAACUGCAUGCCUUUUGGUAAAAAAAUUUAAUUUCCUUUGGGUAUAUACUCAGUAGUGAGAUUGCUGGGCUGAAUGGCAGUUCUGUUUUCAAUUCUUUAUGAAAUCUCCAAAUUUCUUUCCAUAGUGACGGAACUAAUUUACACUCCCACCAGCAGUGUAUAAGUGAUUCCUUUUCACUACAACCCAGCUGUUGUUUUUUGACUUUUUAAUAUAGCCAUGCUGAGCCAUUCUGACUGGUGUGGGAUCGUAUCACACUGUGGUUUUGAUUUGCGUUUCUCUAAUUAUUAGUGAUGAUGACCAUAUUUUCAUAUGUUUGUUGGCUGCAUGCAUGUCUUCUUUUGAGAAAUAUCUGUUUAUAUGCUUUGCCCAUUUUUAUUGGGGUUAUUUGCCCUUUUGUUUGUUGAAUUGUUAAAGGUUUUUAUAGAUUCUAGACAUUAGAACUUUUUCUGUUGCAUAGUUUGUGAACAUUUUUUUUCCAUUCUGUAGGUUGGCUGUUUACUCUGUUGAUAGUUUCUUUUGCUGUGCAGAAGCUCUUUAGUUUAAUUAGGUUGCACUUGUCAAUGUUUGUUUUUGUUGCAAUUAUAUUCGUGGACUUAAUCAUAAAUUCUUUGCCAAGGCUGAUGUCCAGAAUGGUAUUUCAGAGCUUUUCUUCUAGGGUUUUUGUAGUUUUAGAUUUCCCACUGAAGUCUUUAAUCCAUCUUGAGUUAACGUUUUAAUGUUUGUAUAUGGUGAAAUGAAAGGGUCCAGUUUCAAUCUUCUGCAUAUGGCUAGUCAGUUAUCCCAGCCCUAUUUAGGAAGUCCUUUCCCUAAACAGCGAGUUCUUUCCGCAUUGCUUAUUGUUGUUGACUUUGUUGAUGAUCAGGUAGUUGUAGGUACGCAACUUUAUUUCUGGGCUCUUUAUCCUGUUCCAUUCAAAUAUGUGUCUGUUUUUGUAUCAGUAUCAUGCUGCUUUACAUGAAUGUUUAUUGAAUUGAAUUUCAUAUCAUCAUGAUAGGUUGAGUAAUUACAAAUUGCAAACAGUCCCAGAAAAUUAAAAAAUUAUUAAUGUGUGGGUGUCAUAAAUAUUAUUGAUUGCUUGAAGAAAGUUACUUUAUACAUUAAAUCUUCAGUUUUAUUUCUAAAUAAAAACUGAAGUAAAUACAUUUACUUUUAUUUAACUAUCCACUUGCAAAAUGAGUUUUCUUAAAUCAAAUGCCUGUACUUUUAUCUCAUAAUAGUAAGUAAUUAGCAGCAAACCCACUUUGAUGUGACAUCAAUUUUGUGUUGAUAUAUUCUGUCAAUAAGCCAUUAUUAUAUAACUCAAACAUUCUACUUAGUAAUACAUUAUCCAUUACAUCAGUACAUUGGCUGGAUCACUUUGAACCAGGAAAAAAAUAAUCUCACUUGAAGAAUUAGUAGAUUGCUUUUCAUCAGGUAAUGACAAUUAGAGAAUCUAUCAUGGUUCAUUUGUUAUCUUGUUAGAAUGCCAAGAAUUAAAUUUAAUGGUCAAUCAAUGCAACUAAUUAGGCAUAUGUUGAUAUAUAUUCCUUAUUAUCUUCAACAUAUUUUUAUUUUCUCAUUUUAUCAUUAUACUUGCAUAGUAUACCUGAGCAAACAAAUGCAUAUAAAAUAGGUAUAUAGGUAGAUGACCAAUCUAUGGAUCAGAUAUUUGUCAUUAUAAAGAUGUUAAAUCAAACAACCUGAAAAAAUCUUUCGUUGAUAAGACAAACAAGACUUCAAGCUGAGUUGAAGUAAUCACCUUCAAAUUGUACCACCUCACUCUGCCUGUCAUCACAAGCUUGCAAAACAUCAUACUUAAAACAUUUAUUAAAGUCAAUUGAAUCUUAUUAUCUUCCUCCUCCAGUUUCAAAAGAAAUGAUUAAACAAAAAUUUCCUACCUGUUUAAGAAGAUUUUUUGUCUGAGAUGUAGUAAAAAUAAUUGGUACUUGCUUUUUGUUCUGUUUUAAUCAAAAGGUAGGGUUUAAACACCAUCUGGAAUGGCAUUUUUCCUUUAAUUUAUUUCUAUAAUCAGAUUUGAGUACUCAAAUUUAUUUAUAAGAAUUUUUAAAAUAAUAAAUUUUAUGGUUAUUUGAUAUUGUUUGGAUGUUCAUCUCCUUCAGAUGUCAUGUUAAAAUGUGCCCUUCAGUGUUGGUGGUAGGGACUGGUGGGAAGUAUUUGAUCAUGGGGCCAGUACCUCAUGACUUAUCAUCCUCUGGUGCUAAGUCAUAAGCAAGCUGUUGCUUAGUUCACAUAAGAUCUGGUUGUUUAAGAGACCAUGGCACCUCCUCCACCCUUGCUUCCUCUUACUAUAUGAUACACUGGCUCUCUGUUGCCUUCUGCCAUGAUUGUAGCUUCCUGAGGCAUCACUAGGAGCCGAUACUCACACCAUGCUUCUUGUACAGCCUGAAGAAUAGUAAGCCAAAAUAACCCUCUUUUCUUUAGAAAUUAUUCAGCCUUAGGUAAUCUUUUAGAGCACCACUUGCAGACUAACAUAGAAAAUUGGUACCAAGGAAUGGGAUAUUGCUAUAAACAUAGCUGAAAAUGUGGAAUCAGCUUUGGAACUGGAUAAUAUGCAGAAGCUGGAAGAGCUUGGAGGGCUCGGAAGACAGGAAGUUGAGGGAAAGUUUGGAACUUCUUAGAGACUGGUUAAAUGUUUGGGACCAAAAUGCUGAUAGAGAUAUGGACAGUGAAUGCUAGGCUGAUGAGAUCUCAGAUGGAAAUAAAGAGUUUAUUCAGAAGUAGAGUUAAGGUCACUCUUGCUACUCUCUAGCUAAGAAGUUAGAGGAAUAAUGUUCAUUCCAUACGGCUUUGUGGAAGGUAGAACGUAAAAGUGAUGACCUUAUGGAAUAAAUUUCUAGGCAGCAAAUCAUUCAAGACAUGGUUCUAACAGCCUAUGAUCAGAUACAGGAACAAAGGAAUACUUUAAAAUUGGAACUUAUAUUUAAAAGGAAAGAAGAGUGUAAAAGUUUGGAAAAUUUGCAUUUUAGCUAUGUAGCAGAGGAAGAAAAAGCUUUUUUUUUUUCAGGAGGGAAAUGCAAGUGGGUUUAUGAGCAACCACUUGCUAGAGAGAUUUGCAUGACUAAAUGAGAGCCAAGUGCUAAUAUGCAAGACAAUGAGCAAAAGGCCUUGAAGGCAUUUCAGGGAUCUUUGAUUUUUUUUUUUUCUGUUUUCUAUUUAUUUAUUUACUUAAUUUAUUUUUUGGUGCCAUGACUCAAAUGAGGCUGUUUUCUUACAGAGCCUUUCGAUGGUCUAACUGUCCAUUAUUCUUUUUUUUUUUUUUUUUAUUUCUCAGGGUUGUUUAUUGUUAAUUCUUUUUUUUUUUUUUUAAUUGGAUUUUAGGUUUUGGGGUACAUGA
Non-coding RNA from Callithrix jacchus (white-tufted-ear marmoset), 7052 nucleotides. Lineage: Eukaryota; Metazoa; Chordata; Mammalia; Primates; Cebidae. The record is from RefSeq and is a predicted model, not a curated record.